UUCAGCUGAAGCGGAAGCGGCAGAUUCUGUUGGAAGGCAUGGCUGCCUCACUUCAGCUUGUUGAUCCGCUUGGAAAAAGUGGCAGUUCAGUUGGGCUGACCCCUAAAGAUGACAUUGUGUUCUUAUGGUUGGUGUCUCUUCCAAAAGGCCGGAAACUCAUUUCAAGGUAUCUUCAGCUUCUUGUACCUGGCAGUGAACUUGUAAGAAUAGUUUGCAUGGCAAUUUUUCGCCAUUUAAGGUUUUUGUUUGGCGGCUUUCCACCUGAUCUAGAAGCUGCUGAGACUGUCACUGCACUUGCAAAAACUGUCUCUGCAUGUACAAGUCGCAUGGACCUUAAUUUGCUUAGUGCUUGUCUAGCUGCUGUUGUUUGUUCCUCAGAGCAG
RNAcentral lists this unclassified non-coding RNA (383 nucleotides) under Hevea brasiliensis (rubber tree). The record is from RNAcentral. Lineage: Eukaryota; Viridiplantae; Streptophyta; Magnoliopsida; Malpighiales; Euphorbiaceae.